RNAcentral lists this ribosomal RNA (253 nucleotides) under uncultured bacterium. RNAcentral describes it as "partial 16S ribosomal RNA". It matches the Rfam family "Bacterial small subunit ribosomal RNA", at positions 524 to 776 of the family's 1533-position model. The record is from RNAcentral.
UACGUAGGGGGCUAGCGUUGCUCGGAAUUACUGGGCGUAAAGCGCACGUAGGCGGCUUGUUAAGUCAGGGGUGAAAUCCUGGAGCUCAACUCCAGAACUGCCUUUGAUACUGGCGAUCUCGAGUCCGGGAGAGGUGAGUGGAACUGCGAGUGUAGAGGUGAAAUUCGUAGAUAUUCGCAAGAACACCAGUGGCGAAGGCGGCUCACUGGCCCGGUACUGACGCUGAGGUGCGAAAGCGUGGGGAGCAAACAGG